Molecule: ribosomal RNA, 216 nt
Filed under: Glomeromycotina sp.
Lineage: Eukaryota; Fungi; Glomeromycota
Description: partial small subunit ribosomal RNA
Rfam family: Eukaryotic small subunit ribosomal RNA (bases 40-216)
Source: RNAcentral
GGGUCAGUAGGUUGGUCGUGCCACCGGUACGUACUGGUCUCACUGAUUCCUCCUUCCUGAAGAACCGUAAUGCCAUUAAUUUGGUGUUGCGGGGAAACAGGACUGUUACUUUGAAAAAAUUAGAGUGUUUAAAGCAAGCUAGCGCUUGAAUACAUUGGCAUGGAAUAAUGAAAUAGGACGAUCGAUCCUAUUUUGUUGGUUUCUAGGAUUGACGUA